UUUUAUAUAGUUUAAAGAAAACAUUAUACUUUCACUAUAAAAAUAGAAUUUCUAUUUUCUUAUAAAAA
RNAcentral lists this transfer RNA (68 nucleotides) under Staphylinidae sp. BMNH 1274257. RNAcentral describes it as "tRNA-Glu". It matches the Rfam family "tRNA". Rfam says of the family: Transfer RNA (tRNA) molecules are approximately 80 nucleotides in length. Their secondary structure includes four short double-helical elements and three loops (D, anti-codon, and T loops). The record is from RNAcentral. Lineage: Eukaryota; Metazoa; Arthropoda; Insecta; Coleoptera; Staphylinidae.